UGGCUCAGUUGGUAGAGCAUGGUGUUUGCAACGCCAGGGGUUGUGGGUUCGAUUCCCAC
Salmo salar (Atlantic salmon) is the source of this 59-nucleotide non-coding RNA. The record is from Rfam. Lineage: Eukaryota; Metazoa; Chordata; Actinopteri; Salmoniformes; Salmonidae.